RNAcentral lists this ribosomal RNA (280 nucleotides) under uncultured bacterium. RNAcentral describes it as "partial 16S ribosomal RNA". It matches the Rfam family "Bacterial small subunit ribosomal RNA", at positions 506 to 784 of the family's 1533-position model. The record is from RNAcentral.
UGCCAGCAGCCGCGGUAAGACGUAAGUUGCAAGCGUCGUUCGGGAUUCAUUGGGCGUAAAGGGCAUGUAGGCGGCAUGACAAGUCUGGUGUGAAAUAUCUCGGCUCAACCGAGAAAACGCACUGGAAACUGUCAAGCUUGAGUAUCGGAGGGGGAGCUAGAAUUCCUGGUGUAGGGGUGAAAUCUGUAGAUAUCAGGAAGAAUACCGGUGGCGAAGGCGAGCUUCUGGCCAGAUACUGACGCUGAGAUGCGAAAGCGUGGGGAGCGAACAGGAUUAGAUA